RNAcentral lists this ribosomal RNA (1123 nucleotides) under uncultured bacterium. RNAcentral describes it as "bacterial SSU rRNA". It matches the Rfam family "Bacterial small subunit ribosomal RNA", at positions 47 to 1162 of the family's 1533-position model. The record is from RNAcentral.
AUUGAUUUUAUGCUUGCAUAAAUGAUUUUUGGAUUCGGAGCGAGUGGCGAACUGGUGAGUAACACGUGGGUAACCUGCCCCGAAGCGGGGGAUAACAUUUGGAAACAAGUGCUAAUACCGCAUAAUUAGUUGGAACCGCAUGGUUCCAACUUGAAAGAUGGCUCUGCUAUCACUUUGGGAUGGACCCGCGCCGUAUUAGUUAGUUGGUGAGAUAAAAGCCCACCAAGACGAUGAUACGUAGCCGACCUGAGAGGGUAAUCGGCCACAUUGGGACUGAGACACGGCCCAGACUCCUACGGGAGGCAGCAGUAGGGAAUCUUCCACAAUGGACGAAAGUCUGAUGGAGCAACGCCGCGUGAGUGAUGAAGGUUUUCGGAUCGUAAAACUCUGUUGUUAAAGAAGAACAAGUGUUAGAGUAACUGUUAACACUUUGACGGUAUUUAACCAGAAAGCCACGGCUAACUACGUGCCAGCAGCCGCGGUAAUACGUAGGUGGCAAGCGUUGUCCGGAUUUAUUGGGCGUAAAGCGAGCGCAGGCGGUUUUGUAAGUCUGCUGUGAAAGCCCUCAGCUCAACUGAGGAAGUGCAGUGGAAACUACAAAACUUGAGUACAGAAGAGGAAAGUGGAACUCCAUGUGUAGCGGUGAAAUGCGUAGAUAUAUGGAAGAACACCAGUGGCGAAGGCGGCUUUCUGGUCUGUUACUGACGCUGAGGCUCGAAAGCAUGGGUAGCGAACAGGAUUAGAUACCCUGGUAGUCCAUGCCGUAAACGAUGAAUACUAGGUGUUGGAGGGUUUCCGCCCUUCAGUGCCGCAGCUAACGCAUUAAGUAUUCCGCCUGGGGAGUACGACCGCAAGGUUGAAACUCAAAGGAAUUGACGGGGGCCCGCACAAGUGGUGGAGCAUGUGGUUUAAUUCGAUGCUACGCGAAGAACCUUACCAGCUCUUGACAUCUUCUGCCAACCCAAGAGAUUGGGCGUUCCCUUCGGGGACAGAAUGACAGGUGGUGCAUGGUUGUCGUCAGCUCGUGUCGUGAGAUGUUGGGUUAAGUCCCGCAACGAGCGCAACCCUUAUUAUUAGUUGCCAGCAUUUAGUUGGGCACUCUAAUGGGACUGCCGGUGAUAAA